Molecule: ribosomal RNA, 59 nt
Filed under: fungal sp. mh2518.2
Lineage: Eukaryota; Fungi
Description: partial 28S ribosomal RNA
Rfam family: Eukaryotic large subunit ribosomal RNA
Source: RNAcentral
UUGACCUCAGAUCAGGUAGGAAUACGCGCUGAACUUAAGCAUAUCAAUAAGCGGAGGAA